Molecule: long non-coding RNA, 4564 nt
Filed under: Canis lupus familiaris (dog)
Lineage: Eukaryota; Metazoa; Chordata; Mammalia; Carnivora; Canidae
Description: lncRNA (ENSCAFG00845028085.1)
Source: RNAcentral
GCAGUAAUGAUUUUCUAGAUUAAUGUGUAGGGGAAGGAUUAAUGUUUUAAAAAUAUGAAGUCUUUCCAGAACACAGAGCGUGUUUCCCAUUUUUCUCAGAAUUUUUACAUCUUCCAGUAAAAUUUUUUUUCAUUUACAUGUAUAUUUUUUAAAGUUUCUUCUUACAUUUAAAAAAACUACUUAUGAAUUUGUUUUAAUUCCUAUUUUCCUAAAAUAUAUUCUUCAGUAAUCUGUUAAUUUUUGUUUUUUUAUCUCAUCUGUAGCUAUACUGCUGAAUUUAGCUAGUCAGAGUACUUUGUUAUUUAGGUGUCUGGGAUUUUCUAGUUAGUUGGUCAUAUCUGCAAAUGCGUUUUUAUAAUUUUAAGGAUGGCUUUUUUCUUUUUAUUUCAGUAGCUAAUAAUUGUAGGUAACCUGUUUCUUUACUGACUGUAAUGGGAAAUAGCAUCGUGGCUGCUGGGGUUUCUAGUAGAUGACCCUUAUCAAAUUAAGGACAUUUCUUUUUCUUCUUGAUUUGCUAAAAGAUCUCUUCCCCCAUCCACCCACCUCCACUGCCAAUCUCCCCCCCUCCCCCAAGGGAUAGGUGUGGAAUUUAUUCAGUGAGUUUUUGAGGAGUUAAAAAACAAUCAGUUUUUUACUUACCUGUUAAUUUAUUUUUUUAAAGAUGUAAUUUAUUCAUGAGAGAGACGGGGGGAGAGAGAGAGACAGGCAGAGGGAGAAACAGGCUCCAUUCCAUGCAGGGAGCCUGACGUGGGAUUCGAUCCUAGGUCUCCAGGACCACACCCUGGGCUGAAGGCAGCGCUAAACUGCUGAGCCACCUGGGCUGCCCGUCUGUUUAUUUUAUUUUUUAAAGGUUUUAUUUAUUAAUGAGAGACACGGGGGAGGGGGGGGCGGGCAGAGACACAGGGAGAGGGAGAAGCAGGCUCCAUGCAGGGAGCCUGACGUGGGACUUGAUCCCAGGUCUCCAGGAUCAGGCCCUGGGCUGAAGGCAGGCGCCAAACCGCUGAGCCACCCGGGCUGCCCCCAUCUGUUAAUUUUAAUGGAGUGAAUGAUGCUAAUAUUUUCCGUGAACUACCCUUCAAUAAUUUGUAUAAAACGGGUUAAUGUUCUUUUAAGAGUGAUUGAUUCGUUUAGGUUUGUUUAUUUAUUUAUUUAUUUAUUUAUUUAUUUAUUUAUUUAUAAGAUUUUUAUUUAUUUUUUCAUGACAGACACAGAGACCGGCAGAAACAGGCAGAGGGAGAAGCAGGCUCCACACAGGGAGCCUGACGUGGGACUCGAUCCUGGGUCUCCAGGAUCAGGCCCUGGGCUCAAAGUGGCGCUAAACCGCUGAGCCACUCGGGCUGCCCCUAGGAUUUAUUAUAUAUGUUCAUAAAUGAAAUUGACUUCAUUUUCUUCUGUUUAUGUCUAGUUUUAGAAACCAUUAGGAUAACCUUAUAAAGUCAGUUGAAUUAGCCUUUCAGGUUUUUCUGUCUUGUCGAACAGUGUAUAUAAUAGUAUCCUCUGUUUAUUGACAGUCUGGUAAGUGUUCCUAUAAAACUGUGGGUAUUUUCAAGUGUUUUUCCUGACCUCACAGUUUCUUCUUUAGUUAUUAUCUAUUCAUGUUCUCUACUUUUUAUUAAAUUCAUAUUUUUGGAGAAAACCAGCCAGUUUUCCUAGAUUUAAAAAAAAUUACUUUUCUGUCCAGCUAUGCUCUGUUUAGUGUGUAUAUAAUGUAUAAUAUUUAUAUACACAUUCUAAAAUCUUCUGAGAUGCAACCACUUUUUUAUUCUUAAUACUUUAUUUGGCAUGAAGUGGGGAGUUAUCCUUGAUUUAGAUUGCCCAAGAUCUUUUUUUUUUUUAAACUAGACUUUAGUUAAAAAACAUUGAGCAAUGUUUUCACUAUUUCAUUACUUACUGUUCUUAAAUUUAGUGUGUAAAAUUCUACCUAAUUUGGAUUUGUUUUGUACCUAAGAGCUUUUUGAGUUGAAUCUACCUCAAUACUAAGUACAUUCCUGGUUCUAUAAUAAUAAUAAUAGGGUUGACCUUAGAAAAAUACUAUUUUAGUAGAGAUGGAACAAGAACUUUUUUUCCCAAGAUUUUUAUUUAACUUAUUUGAGAGUGAGAGCAUGAGCAAGCAACAGAAGGAAAGUCUCUAAGCUUUAGCCUGAUAUUAGCUCAUUUGAUGACAGAUAAGUCCUAUCACUUCCACUUCAGCCAAAAUGGCUCUGCUUUGACCUGGUUUGGUUCUCCUGAGAUGUGAUUUGAAAGUAGGGCUCCUUGGCUAAAACCACUUGAGAUGCCUGUUGAAUUUUAAAUAUUAAAUAAUCUGGUGGGUUUUUUUAAUCCUUUUAUCUCUUUAAACAUUCUCAACCUAUUUCAUUUUAUCCUAUACUUUUUAGGCUUUUCUGGAAUUCUUGUUCUGAUUUUGUUGGCUAUCUUUCUUAGCAUUGAAUUUCCUUGUGUGUUUUGGAGUUUUGGUAUGCAGGCUCAUGGGUUUUUUUUGUUUGUUUCCCUUUUCCAUCCUCUCUGGUGUUUGCCUCCCUUAGGAACUCCAGGAUCUCAGUCUAAAUCCAGGUAUCUGAUCACACCUGGUUAUUAAUAACCGUAAAGAGAGUGGGAGCAUUGUACCCCAUCCCAGAGUCACCUGGUAGCAUCAUUUUGAUUUCCAGUCCAAGGAGGUUUUGCUCUUUUAUUUUUAUUUUCUCUUAUGAUUUCCCCAUUCUACCUGUGUAUUUGGAGCAAAGAUUUGUUUAGUGUUUUGUUUUGGUACAGACUUACCAAAUCAUCCUGUAGUAUUAAAAAUUCCCACCAUCCCAGGGGAUUGUGGUAUAGGUUCUUCAUCCUCAGAGGUCACCAGAGUUAAUACGUGUGGUGUGUGUGGUGGUUUAUGGUUGUCUAGCUGCCCAGUGACCGCCUACUUUUGGGAGCAGUAUUUUGGUGGGGGCAGGGGAUGUUCUCUCUUCCCUGUUGGGUACAGUCUUUUGAGACCUGUAAAAUAAAGCAGCAUCCUAUCCCCUAGCCAAGGGCUAGGUGUAUGAAUAAAACCAGACCAGCUGAGCCCUGGACUGUUUCCUGGAUCACUUAGACUGUUUCCCUUCUAGAACAAUUUUAGUUCCUGCAAUGAAACCCAUAGGAUCUUCCUGCCUACUCCUUUGGACCUAUGCUAAGGUCUUUCCCUUCAAUUCUGUGAGAUCAUCUACAUCCCUCUAGUAAUUCCUCUUUUCUAAUAUUAGAGGCAAAUUUUGUUGCCUAACACCCAGGAAAACAUGACUGAUGGACCAUACACUCUUAGAGAUGUGUAUGCACCUACAGCCAUGUAAAUGCUCAAAUAUGAUUUUUACGUAACUAUGCUUUACAGUAGCUUGUAUUUCAGACACUUUGUGUACUUGGGAUUAAACAAAAAGAAUUAAUUCAAGUAGGCUCUAAUCUGACUUAGUAUGGGGAUAAAUGAAUGACAGAUAGGCCAUAUCUCAGUUAACCAGGCAAGUGUCUUGGUGAAUCAGGACUCCAGCUUGUGCUGCUGCUGCCCUGUGAACAGUGUGGCACUCCUAAAGUGGCUUCUGUCUGUUCUCUUGGAUGCUCUAUUUCCCCUGUCAUCUCCCAGCCUUGUCUCUGGCCAUCCUGAACCAAGCCCUCAUCUCGUUACACCGCUCUACUCACUGUCUCAGGAUGCACACUCUCUUCUUGGUGUCUGCUUUUCCUGUUGUUUAUUUCCCUUUUCCUUCCUGCAAGACCAGCUCAAUGACCUGAAGCCUUUCUGAAUAGCCUACAGGGCAGUGCCUGUCCUCCCACCCCCUAAAUUCCCAGAGUAGCUGACAUUUGUUCGUUGCUUGCCAAGUUACUUGUGUGUUUGAGUCAGGAUAUAAAGAACACUGACAUUGCUUUGACAGCAUGUCAGAGAGACUUAUUGCCAUGCUUGAUACUCAUAUACUUGCCUUCUGUCUUCUGCGUGCCCAUCAUGGCAUUAUAUUCACACUGUUUCAUCCAUUAAGUGAGCAGAUCCCAUACUCAUGCAGGAUACUUAUUUCAUUACCCAACACCAAAGGUAAGGAGGAAGCCAGCUGCCCAAAAAAUAAACUUUUGCCUCAGAAACAUUCUGAAGCUAAUUUUUUCCAUGGCUGGUUCUAGUUGUUUAAGGAGCUGUCAGAAACUGUGAGUUGUGAAUUGGAGAGACCAAGAUCUUGCAUGUCCUCAAGGAUGGGGGCCUGGACCUCUGGUUACAGAUCUGGCCCUAUAGGUGCUCUAAGGUGGCAAAGUAUAUAUUUUGACUCUGAAGAGUAUUCAUCAUGUUCAUAAAGGGAGGUGAGGUUGCUCAUGUUUGUCUUGGCUGGCCAGCCAGCUUACAAGCGUUAUUUGCUCAUGGUGGCAAUCACAGAGGGCCUUUGCCCAAGAUACCAGUUUUUCUCCCCUCUGGCUUCAUUGCUUCCCUUGGGCAGAAAGAACCCAGAAGAUCUGUUCCUGGAAAGUAGGGGCCAGUAUGUAUCCUGUAAACUGUCAACUUAUUUGGGAGUUUAAAAAGCAUACUAAAAUAGGGAUCCAAAUACUAUUUGGCUUCAGUAGUUUGGAACCUAUACUCUCACAUAACAAA